UUUCCGGUUGAUCCUGCCGGAGGUUACUGCUAUCGGGGUCCGAUUAAGCCAUGCGAGUUGAGAGGGGUAAGCCCUCGGCAUACUGCUCAGUAACACGCGGACAACCUGCCCUUGGGUCUGGGAUAACCCCGGGAAACUGGGACUAAUACCGGAUAGAUCAGAGAUACUGGAAUGUUCUCUGGUCCAAAACUCCGGUGCCCAAGGAUGGGUCUGCGGCCUAUCAGGUAGUAGUGGGUGUAACGUACCUACUAGCCAGCGACGGGUAAGGGUUGUGAGAGCAAGAUCCCUGAGAUGGAUUCUGAGACAUGAAUCCAGGCCAUACGGGGUGCAGCAGGCGCGAAAACUUGACACUGCGGGAAAUCGCGAUAAGGGGACCCCGAGUGCCAGCACCUAGUGCUGGCUGUCCUACUGUCUAAAUAACAGUGGUUAGCAAGGGCCGGGCAAGACCGGUGCCAGCCGCCGCGGUAACACCGGCGGCCCGAGUGGUAACCGUCAUUAUUGGGUUUAAAGGGUCCGUAGCCGGCUUAUUAAGUCUUUUGGGAAAUCUGGCGACUCAAUCGUCAGGCGUCCAAGAGAUACUGGUAGGCUUGGGACCGGGAGAGGUGGGAGGUACUCCAGGGGUAGGGGUGAAAUCUCGUAAUCCUUGGGGGACCACCGAUGGCGAAGGCAUCCCACCAGAACGGGUCCGACGGUGAGGGACGAAAGCUGGGGGAGCGAACCGGAUUAGAUACCCGGGUAGUCCCAGCUGUAAACGAUGCAGGCUAGGUGUUUGGGCGGCCACGGGCCGCUCUAGUGCCGCAGGGAAGCCGUUAAGCCUGCCGCCUGGGGAGUACGGUCGCAAGGCUGAAACUUAAAGGAAUUGGCGGGAAGGGCGAAUU
RNAcentral lists this ribosomal RNA (878 nucleotides) under uncultured archaeon. Its description in RNAcentral is "bacterial SSU rRNA". It matches the Rfam family "Archaeal small subunit ribosomal RNA", at positions 1 to 883 of the family's 1478-position model. The record is from RNAcentral.